AGACUCACAAAUUUUAUUCUCCUCUUGUCAAGGUUCAUUCAUGGCAGCAUCCAGCUUUCCAAAAAAUUGCUUUCAUGUUCUUUCUUUUCAUCUAAGCUGUCCCAUCAUCACAGAGGCUCUGUGAUCACUUCUUGCACACCAAAAUGUUCUCUUACAUCCAAUAAUUGCAAUUUGCAGUCUAAUUUAAAGGAAAGUUGGCAAAAAAAAAUCCACUUCAGAGCUGUCAGCAUGAGAGUUCAAAUGACCUUACUAAUACUGAACCUCAGAGUUCCUCCAUAUUGUUUAAAUGCAGUAUUUUCUUCCAGCAAAAUCUUUUCAGAAGUCUGUGUGCUUGAAGAGUUGUUUCAAGAGGAGACUGGCUUCCUGCUUUGGGAAUGGUUACAAGCCAUCCAGAGAAACACAGGCACUUGUAGGGUGCAGGUUAUCUACCUCACUCUAGGCUCUCACUGUGGGGUGGCAGAAAACACUCCUCCAUGACUUAUCAAGCUGGAAGAAUAAACUGAGCCAUUUAAACACAGACAUGUGUAGCUUGGGGAAGGACCUUCUGUCCCUUCAUCAGAGCCCCCUCUCCAUGCAGUUUUCCAGAACUUGGUCAGACAAAACCCAGACUUGGGCUUGGCUACAUUAAGACCAAGAUAUUUGUCAAGUUUCAUUUUUGUAGCCUUGAGAUGCCCUUCCCUUGUGCUGGUGUGUGAGCUGUACUCCUGGAGGGCAAAGAGGAAAGAAACCAGGGGGUGAGAGCUGGACACACAGAGGACAGACAGAGAUACAAAGCCUGUUUUAUCCAGCACAUCCCCCAAGACCAUCCAGUUCUCACAUGGAUAGGCUGAGUCCUUAUUGGAGCAGCUGCCCUGCUUUUUUCCCUCAAGUCCCUUCCUCCCUGGAAGCAGCAGUCUUAGCAAACCUUUUGGAACCAUCAAAAUUAUUUAGUUCAGUGAUGACCAAAGGUUUGUGCACCUCAGCUCUGAGCCAGCUCCAGUGCCUCAAGACUCUAAGCCAGUGGUUGCCUUGGCUGAGGGAGCAGAAACUGAAGCAAGAAGAAAAAAAACCUUGUGCCUUUCUACACAUGAACAUAAAAUUUGGUCCAAGGAUUUGCAAUAGGAAAACUUCAGCUCUUCAAGAAGGUGAAUACAGAAUUCUGUAUGACAAGCUGCAAUUUAAAAACCAGCUGUGGCAGCUACAGUUCCAGUCCAAAAAAAUGAAAAGACCAUCACUGACUAAUGUAAAAGAUGCUCCUAGAUGAAGAGGAGGAACCAGAGAGUCUGGAGCCAGGAGGAAAGGAGGGAGAGCCAUCAUGCAGUUGGGAACAGGAGAAAGGACAGCAGGGAAGACAGAGCCAUCAGGGUGGCUCAGAACCAGAUGAAAUCACAAUCUUAAACAUUUUUUUCUCCACUCACAUGUUCCCUUGUGCGGCCUAUGAAAGUGUCAGGAUGAGACCAGAAUGGUGAUGUCUUCAUAUGGCUCCGCUUCAAAGCUGCAUGCAGGUCCUAAACAAGAGCUCACAGCAGCAUCUGUGUUCAUCCCAAGGAAGAGCUGCCAAAAGCCAGGCCUGUGGAGGACACCUGGGAGAGGUGUGCAGCACAGCAGAAGAUAUGUAGGGCAUGGCUGCUGGAUCUCUUCCUCAAUAUCUGGCCAAGAAGCUGCAAAAACUGUUCCAGUCUUCAGAAUUUGAGAUGACAGACUGCAGAAGUGGAAUUCCAGCUAUUUCAGAAUAAAUAAAAUAUGAUCAAAGGAAGACCUUCAAGUGAGUUUUGUUUCCCAGGGCUCACAGCACACUGAAAUGAAACUUCUGAUACUCCUAAGCACAAACUGUCCACUGAAUUUGUCCUAAAAUUUUUUUUCAGCCAUAAAUCCCAAGGUAUGGAUUUUUACAGAGAGGAAUCACAGUUAAAACAUAAACCAAAUAAUGCAUGUUUGUGAUGCUGUCCCAUCCACUGCUCUU
Long non-coding RNA from Passer domesticus (house sparrow), 1942 nucleotides. RefSeq lists it as uncharacterized. NCBI's taxonomy places the organism in Eukaryota, Metazoa, Chordata, Aves, Passeriformes, Passeridae. The transcript has 6 exons. The record is from RefSeq and is a predicted model, not a curated record.